UUGCAACUCCCAAACCAUUGUGANAUACCUUCAACGUUGCUUCGGCGGGUUGGCCCCGGUCUCCGGGGUCCCCGGCCCUACUCGGGCGCCCGCCGGAGGUAUCUAACUCUUGAACUUUUAUGGCCUCUCUGAGUCUUUGUACUUAAUAAGUCAAAACUUUCAACAACGGAUCUCUUGGUUCUGGCAUCGAUGAAGAACGCAGCGAAAUGCGAUAAGUAAUGUGAAUUGCAGAAUUCAGUGAAUCAUCGAAUCUUUGAACGCACAUUGCGCCCGCCAGUAUUCUGGCGGGCAUGCCUGUUCGAGCGUCAUUUCAACCAUCAAGCCCCCGGCUUGUGUUGGGGACCUGCGGCUGCCGCAGGCCCUGAAAACCAGUGGCGGGCUCGCUAGUCACUCCGAGCGUAGUAAUACAUCUCGCUCAGGGCGUGCUGCGGGUUCCGGCCGUUAAAAAGCCUUAUUUACCCAAGGUUGACCUCGGAUCAGGUAGGAAGACCCGCUGAACUUAAGCAUAUCAAAA
Molecule: ribosomal RNA, 514 nt
Filed under: Trichocladium asperum
Lineage: Eukaryota; Fungi; Ascomycota; Sordariomycetes; Sordariales; Chaetomiaceae
Description: eukaryotic LSU rRNA
Rfam family: 5.8S ribosomal RNA (bases 155-308)
Source: RNAcentral